GCUCCCGAGUUUUAACGGAUCCCCAAGAAGCAGGAAGUGAGGACAGAACCAGGCUCCAAGGGACCGGCAGAGAAACCCGUCUCAGCAUCUCGCCAGGCUCCUCCUUCCCCCGUGGGCUCCUGUCCUGUCCUCCUCUCCUCCUGCCUGGCCCAGCUCAGGCUCUGAGACUCUGUGACAUCACAGUGCAGGGAACACCAUCCUGGUGGGUGGGACCUGACUGGCCACUUGGCAGCCGGCGGGAAUGAGCAGCUGCCACCCUUGGACCCCCCAGAACGCCACUUCCAUGGGGACCAGCAGGCCAGCGGAGCCGUGUCUGAAGUUUUCUUUGGAGAUUUGCAGAGCUGCCGUGAACACGGAGGGGAAGUCUCUGACACCCCGAGGGUCCUCAGACCAAGGCCAGAGGGGACGCGGCGACCUGAAACUGAAAGACGAGUUCCAUUUUUUAAGGAAACAGUGAUGAGAACGUAUGAAGUCAACUCCCUGGAGGUCUUGCCUGCAGCUUGCAAAACACAAAAGCAGACAAUGUCUCACAAACUUUCCAGCUUUGGGCCUCAGCAUGGGAUCCCCUAGCAGCAGAAGACAAGGAGAAGGAAAUAGGCACAGCUCUUUUUCCAUUUUUGCUUCAAACAUAAAAUGUUUACAGUUUCAUUCUGUGUGCAAAAUUUGAGCCCUGUAUUGAGUGAAGAAAUAAUGCCCAUGACUGGGGCAGUGAAAAACUGCAGUUGGUAUCCCAUGGUUCACCUGGGGCCGCACCUGCCUGGAGUUGGUAUCCCAUGGUUCACCUGGGGCCGCACCUGCCUGGAGUUGGUAUCCCAUGGUUCACCUGGGGCCGCACCUGCCUGGAGUUGGUAUCCCAUGGUUCACCUGGGCCGCACCUGCCUGGAGUUGGUAUCCCAUGGUUCACCUGGGGCCGCACCUGCCUGGAGUUGGUAUCCCAUGGUUCACCUGGGCCGCAUCUGCCUGGAGUUGGUAUCCCAUGGUUCACCUGGGGCCGCACCUGCUUGGAGUUGGUAUCCCAUGGUUCACCUGGGCUGCAUCUGCCUGGAGUUGGUAUCCCAUGGUUCACCUGGGCCACACCUGCCUGGAGUUGGUAUCCCAUAGUUCACCUGGGGCCGCACCUACCUAGAGUUGGUAUCCCAUGGUUCACCUGGGCCGCACCUGCCUGGAGUUGUUACUCUGGGGUGCAGCUGGGGCCGCACCUGCCUGGAGUUGGUAUCCCAUGGUUCACCUGGGCCACACUGCCUGGAGUUGUUACUCUGGGGUGCAGCUGGGGUCACACCUGCCUGGAGUUGGUAUCCUGUGGCUCCAAAUGUGAUGCCUCAAAUGCACUAUGUGGACUGGAGUUUUCAUUAUCUAACAGAGAGAACAUGUAAGUUUGAGGUCCCAGUUGAUUAAAUUAAAAACUACCCAACUAUUCUGCACUGUAUUAUAGAGCCAAGAGCAUGAAUGUAUCCAAAGUCUUCCUUGGAAGUUAGGAGUUUGGGAUUUAUGUCCACCCCUAGUUUCUCAGGCAACAUUUUCUACCUUACACACACACACCACACACACACAUACACGCACACACACACAUGUGCAUGCACACAGAGUGUUGAAAAGUUCAUGGAAGAGCAUGUUAUGCAAAACCUAUGUAUAGAUUUCUAAAAUUUUGCACCCAAUUCAGCUUAUCUUUUAAUUCCACUUUUCUGCAAACUUUUUGCGCUUUCUUCAAACAGAUGAUGUAGAUGUGUAGAUACGACAGAGCUGGAUGUCUAGAUGCAGAGAGGCGUGUAGAUGUGCGGACAAUGGCAGAUGUGCACAGGUGUGAAGAGUAACAUCGAUCUGUAUUUUUAAAGGCGUCCCUGAGAUCUGGUGCUGGUGCACCCUUCAUUAAGUUUCUCAGAUGGGAAGUCAGCUUUAAUGGUGUCAGAAGUAUUUAUUGGUUUUUGUAAAAGCAAGAUAGAUUCAUUAUCAAAACGUUUAAUGCAGUGUCUGUCCCAGUGGGCUCCAGCCCUGCUAACAGCUGCUGUUGUCUUUGUGGUUUUAUCUUUGCGUCUCCACUUCACAAGUGGACUUUUUACUCACAGUGGACGGUGCGAUACGCACUGGGAGCUUACACAGAUCCAGCUCCGCGAUCUCCACCGAGGGCCACAUUUCCUGGGAGCGGGUGAUUCUGUCGCUGGUCCUCUCGGGGCCGUGAGUGCCCGGGAGUGUGGGGAGAAGGGGGGUGUGGCCCCCAUGUUCCUGGGUGGUCUGAACUCCCGGAGGCCUCUCCCCACAUGGCCAGUCUGUGUUGUUGAGCACUUUCCUGCCUGGGGAUCCUUAGCCCCCACCAUGCUUUUCGUUUUUGUUUCUUUAUGGGAUGAGCGUCGUCUUCCCCAUCCUGAGGACAGCGUGGCUGAUUUCGCAUCUACUUUCUUCCCAGCACUGCUCUCGCCCGUGGAGAGAGUGAUUUCUGUAACAGCAUCUUCGGCUUGCUUUUCAUUUGGUGCAAAAUGUCAGGCAGCCUAGAUACCUUCCAGUCCUCCAAGCAAUACGUCUUCCUCCAAGUAUGAUCUCCACCCCUUGUUCCAGCCCAGUUCUCACUGUGCCUGGCUUUUGGCGAGACCUCUCCCCGUGCUGGCCUGAGUCUCCUUCCCCUGGCAGCUUGUCCACCUCAGCAGGUGCAGGAGAGAGCAGACCUCGUCUCACCAAGCCUUGACAUGAUUUGCAGCCCUGAGCAGCAGUGGACUGCAGCCACGUGGAAGGCCCAGAGCCAUCGGCACCCGGCUAAGCUGGCCCAUAGGCACGAUGAGAUGGUGAAUAAUUGUUGUUUGAAGCCAUGAUGAUUUGAGCUCAUUGUGAUAGAAAAUGAAUUUUAGUGCCCAAACGUGGAGUUCUGCCGUAAGAAAAACCUGAAGAUGUGAGGAUGGCUGGGGGUUGGGUAGUGGGGAGUGGCUGGGAGGACUUUGAGUGUGUAGAAAAGCUUGCCUUCCUUCAGUCGGGCACCGCAGAAAUCGGGUUCUGGGGGCCAGCACUGUGGUGUAGCAGGUAAAGCCGCUGCCUGUGGUGCCGGCAUCCCAUAUGGGCGCCGAUUCAAGACCCGGCUGCUCCGCUUCCAAACCAGCUCUCUGCUAUGGCCUGGGAAGGCAGUGGAGGAUGGCCCAUGUGACAGACCUCGCUCCUAGCUUCAGAUCUGCACGGCUCCGGCUGUUGUAGACACUUGGGGAGUGAACAAGCAGGUGGAAGUCCUCUCUCUUGGUCUUCCCCUCUCUCUCUCUGUAACUCUGCCUCCCAAACAAAUAAAUAAAAUCUUAAAAAAA
This is a non-coding RNA of Oryctolagus cuniculus (rabbit), 3278 nucleotides long. NCBI's taxonomy places the organism in Eukaryota, Metazoa, Chordata, Mammalia, Lagomorpha, Leporidae. The record is from RefSeq and is a predicted model, not a curated record.